CCGCAUCCCGGGUGCAAGCGGAUCACCAAAAUCCAAGCUGGUUCCAAUUUCCCCCAGUUGCCUGCCUUUGAAACACUCAGAAGGCCCACUCUGUUCUCCAGCCUUAUUACAUGGGGUUUUUGUCUCUCCAAGUCAUUCCUCAGCAUCGCCUUGAAUGGCAUCUACUGCACAUAACUUUUUCAGCCCACAAGGCUGAAACACUUCCUGUGACUGAAAUGGCUCCAACACAGCUAUUUCCUAGAAGACAUUCUCCCUGAUUUCUUGUGGUGCCUGUAAGAUAACUGGAGAUGCAGACCUGGUAUAGAUCUGAGCACCCUCAAUGUCUUCUCAAUGAAAAACACUCCUGAUGCAUCCAGGGGAAGUCAUUGGUUCUUUGAGCAGACACACAGGUAUAGUAUCCUGUUCAAACCAUUUC
Molecule: long non-coding RNA, 415 nt
Filed under: Anser brachyrhynchus (Pink-footed goose)
Lineage: Eukaryota; Metazoa; Chordata; Aves; Anseriformes; Anatidae
Description: lncRNA (ENSABRG00000017441.1)
Source: RNAcentral